GCCGGGUGACGUGGCGGGCACCUGUAGUCCCAGCUACUCGGGAGGCUGAGGCAGGAGAAUGGCGUGAACCCGGGAGGCAGAGCUUGCAGUGAGCCAAGAUCGCGCCACUGCACUCCUGCCUGGGCUACAGAGCCAGACUCUGUCUCAA
This 148-nucleotide non-coding RNA is filed under the name Pan paniscus (pygmy chimpanzee). RNAcentral also lists the same sequence under 1 other name. Lineage: Eukaryota; Metazoa; Chordata; Mammalia; Primates; Hominidae. The record is from Rfam by way of RNAcentral.